GCAGAGAUGGCUGAGUUGGUCUAAGGCGCACGACUGGAAAUCGUGUAACGGCUUAAACCCGUUCGGGGGUUCGAAUCCCCCUCUCUGCGCCA
Molecule: transfer RNA, 92 nt
Filed under: Oscillospiraceae bacterium
Lineage: Bacteria; Bacillati; Bacillota; Clostridia; Eubacteriales; Oscillospiraceae
Description: tRNA-Ser
Rfam family: tRNA
About the family: Transfer RNA (tRNA) molecules are approximately 80 nucleotides in length. Their secondary structure includes four short double-helical elements and three loops (D, anti-codon, and T loops).
Source: RNAcentral